GAGUCCGGGCUCCCCGCGAGCCCUCACUCCCACCCNNNUCUACCGUUACCGCGUUGCUUUGGCGGGCCCACUGGAGCCUGUCGGCCUGGUCGCCGGGGGGCUGUUGCCCCCGGGCCCGCGCCCGCCGAAGCGCCCUUGAACCCUGCGUGAAUAGUGAGUCUGAGUCUCGAUUGAAUCGUUAAAACUUUCAACAACGGAUCUCUUGGUUCCGGCAUCGAUGAAGAACGCAGCGAAAUGCGAUAAGUAAUGUGAAUUGCAGAAUUCCGUGAAUCAUCGAAUCUUUGAACGCACAUUGCGCCCUCUGGCAUUCCGGAGGGCAUGCCUGUCCGAGCGUCAUUUCUGCCCUCCAGCACGGCUGGGUGUUGGGCGCUGUCCCCCCGGGGACACGCCCCAAAGGCAGUGGCGACGCCGCGUCGAGUCCUCGAGCGUAUGGAGCUUUGGUCACCUGCUCGGGAGGGAUUCGCCGGCUUCGGUCUUCCCCGAUGGGCCCUGUACAGGGCCGAUCUUUUCGGUUGACCUCGGAUCAGGUAGGGCUACCCGCUGAACUUAAGCAUAUCAAUAAGCGGAGGAAAAGAAACCAACAGGGAUUGCCUCAGUAACGGCGAGUGAAGCGGCAAGAGCUCAAAUUUUGAAAUCUGGCCCCCUUGGGGGUCCGAGUUGUAAUUUGGAGAGGAUGCUUCGGGAGUGGCCCCCAUCUAAGUGCCCUGGAACGGGCCGUCAUAGAGGGUGAGAAUCCCGUCUGGGAUGGGUGGCCUCGCCCGUGUGAAGCUCCUUCGAAGAGUCGAGUUGUUUGGGAAUGCAGCUCUAAGAGGGUGGUAAAUUUCAUCUAAAGCUAAAUAUUGGCCGGAGACCGAUAGCGCACAAGUAGAGUGAUCGAAAGAUGAAAAGCACUUUGAAAAGAGAGUUAAACAGCACGUGAAAUUGUUGAAAGGGAAGCGUUGUCCCCCAGACGCGCCCGGGAGGGUUCAGCCGGCACUUGUGCCGGUGCACUCCUUCCUGGGUGGGCCAGCGUCGGUUUGGGCGGCCGGUCAAAGGCCCUGGGAAUGUAGCUCCCUCCGGGGAGCCUUAUAGCCCAGGGUGCC
Molecule: ribosomal RNA, 1082 nt
Filed under: Trichocomaceae sp. PDKB4
Lineage: Eukaryota; Fungi; Ascomycota; Eurotiomycetes; Eurotiales; Trichocomaceae
Description: eukaryotic LSU rRNA
Rfam family: Eukaryotic large subunit ribosomal RNA (bases 514-1082)
Source: RNAcentral